GUAGUUUAACCUUCGGGGGGACGCUUACCACUUUGUGGUUCAUGACUGGGGUGAAGUCGUAACAAGGUAGCGCUAGGGGAACCUGGCGCUGGAUCACCUCCUUAAACGAUGAU
Molecule: ribosomal RNA, 113 nt
Filed under: Vibrio alginolyticus
Lineage: Bacteria; Pseudomonadati; Pseudomonadota; Gammaproteobacteria; Vibrionales; Vibrionaceae
Description: partial 16S ribosomal RNA
Rfam family: Bacterial small subunit ribosomal RNA
Source: RNAcentral